AACCAAUUCAAGCGGGGCAGCGGCAGCGCCGGAGGCAGCAGCCACCCGUGACGAGCGAAGGCGAAGAUCUUAUCAGCAGAAGGAAGUACUGAGCUACUGGGCUGCUCUUCUCUGAAGCCACCGGAUUUACCAGUCCAGGUGACCUGUGACUGGUGAGGGGCAAGACUACUGUGUUCUUCCUGAAACUCAUCCAAACCAUUGGAUAGAGUAUCAGCUCCUGCUGGAAGAUCUUGUCUUCAUCUUGAGAAAAAGGGUUGAAGACAAUGUGUGAAAGUAACAUCUACCUGGUGAAUCAUCCCACCACAGGCAAAUUACCAGUUUCAGACCAUUCAACCACUCAAGCACAAGAACUGUAAAAACAACCUUCCUAUGCUUGCUGUUAAGGUAAAAUGAAGUGCAUUAUAAAUGCAAAAUGUCAUGCCGAGUGCCAAGAAUAAACCCUCAGCUUCAGCCAUGCUUGAAAACAUCAAGUGUUUACAACACGAAGCCUCUAAAUUGAUUUGAGUUGACCAGUGUGGUAUCAGCAGUAGCUAAGCUGUUCUCCUUAAAUUUCACAUGCUGGUUUCCUGGAAAGUAUGCGGCUUGAGAGAAAUCGCAUCUCUCUUCAGUGUGGUACAAGGGUUUUUUCAGAUUUCUAAAACCUAAUCAACAAAUCUUGUUACUUUCAGUCAUUUUCAAUUUUUUAUUUUAUAAUGGAAUUCCAGAUGAUGCAGUAAAUUUGAAACCUGCUCACAGUAGACUGAUUUAUUCUAGGUAGCAUUUGAAGAUAUCAGAAGUAGUGGUGGGCUCAGAAGUAUCAGCAGCCUGCUGCUGUCUUGGGUCUGUCUGUCUCCAGCCCUAAAGAAAAUACCUAAAAUAUUUCCUUAGUGCAAAUAUCAGCCCUUGUAUAGCCAGAAUGAGAGACACGUACACUCUUUCCUACCAAGUUCUGAGUUUUUUCAGGGAGGGGUACUUAAGAGCUAAGUUCUUUUUUCCCUGCUCCUCAUGAUUUGCCUCUGCUUGUUGAAGUAGCUUGUUUCUGCUUCCUCUGGCUGCCAAAGUUUCUGGUUGGUUCAACCACAACUAUUCUGAGUGGUUACUGAAAUAAGAAUGUUAGUAAACAUUUGACUUUUAAAGUCUUUUUUAAAGCUCUAAUUUCUGGAGCAGCUUCCAAAAUUCACAAAACCCCUUGCUAAAUUUAGGGGCUCAACCUUUUUUCCUCCAAAUGUAAAUAUAAACAUAUAUAUGUAUAGUGAAAAAGAAUGUGUGUGUGUACAAAUAUACAUGUGUAUUACCUGCUGGAUGAAAAAUGCAGUGUAAGCCUGGCUUUCGUUAUGACUAGAGUUUUUGCCAUUUACUUAAUUCAAGACAGGAUUUCACUCACAGCUUUUGAAAAUUAGGAUUAUUUAUAAUGCCAGAACCUGGGCACGUCAAUUCUUAGACAAUUCUAUCAGAAAAAAUGUGGCCAAAGAGCUGUAUACCUUCAUUUUUUAAACCAAUUUUGAAUGAGUGUAACAGAUUUGAGCUGGAGAUGCUAGAACUGGUUCCUAAAUUGGUUGGCUAGUCCUUAUUCACAAAGUAAUUUUUCCCGCCUCAGUCUUUCUAUCUCUAAAUAAAGCAGAGAAGUGUUAAAAUAGUCACCUGAAGAAUACUAAAAUACUUGAUGUUUUUGACAAAAUAACUAGAUAAAUAUUAAAUAUCUUCUGCAAAACAUUAAAAAGGCUCAACACCUUGAUCACUUUUUUAAAUGAAAUUAUCUAAAUACAGCACAUGCUAUGAUUAGGUGUUUCUUUUCUUAUGUAAAUUUUGGAUGGAAAAGAGAACAGAGAAAGGGACUUAAAAUAUCAGCUCAUAGCUCCCUCUUGUGCAACACUUCAUUACUACAGAAAACUAAAUUGGAUAGUGAUUGCUUAAGCUAAAUUAUAGGAAAACCAUUUCAUACCUUCAGUAUUUCUUCUGCCACUGGAACCUUGAGGAAUAUUCAUUUUGGUGUCAUAUGAUUGUAGAUGUGGCUGUAGUUACAAUAUGUCUUAUUGUAAUACUUACUGUUGUAACUGCUGCAAAAAUAAACUAAUUUAUGUUAUAUA
Dromaius novaehollandiae (emu) is the source of this 2066-nucleotide long non-coding RNA. RefSeq lists it as uncharacterized. Lineage: Eukaryota; Metazoa; Chordata; Aves; Casuariiformes; Dromaiidae. The transcript is spliced from 3 exons. The record is from RefSeq and is a predicted model, not a curated record.